GUGGUUUAAUUCGAUGCAACGCGAAGAACCUUACCUGGUCUUGACAUCCACGGAAGUUUUCAGAGAUGAGAAUGUGCCUUCGGGAACCGUGAGACAGGUGCUGCAUGGCUGUCGUCAGCUCGUGUUGUGAAAUGUUGGGUUAAGUCCCGCAACGAGCGCAACCCUUAUCCUUUGUUGCCAGCGGUCCGGCCGGGAACUCAAAGGAGACUGCCAGUGAUAAACUGGAGGAAGGUGGGGAUGACGUCAAGUCAUCAUGGCCCUUACGACCAGGGCUACACACGUGCUACAAUGGCGCAUACAAAGAGAAGCGACCUCGCGAGAGCAAGCGGACCUCAUAAAGUGCGUCGUAGUCCGGAUUGGAGUCUGCAACUCGACUCCAUGAAGUCGGAAUCGCUAGUAAUCGUGGAUCAGAAUGCCACGGUGAAUACGUUCCCGGGCCUUGUACACACC
Molecule: ribosomal RNA, 450 nt
Filed under: Shigella flexneri
Lineage: Bacteria; Pseudomonadati; Pseudomonadota; Gammaproteobacteria; Enterobacterales; Enterobacteriaceae
Description: bacterial SSU rRNA
Rfam family: Bacterial small subunit ribosomal RNA
Source: RNAcentral